RNAcentral lists this ribosomal RNA (1406 nucleotides) under Kocuria rosea. RNAcentral describes it as "bacterial SSU rRNA". It matches the Rfam family "Bacterial small subunit ribosomal RNA". The record is from RNAcentral. Lineage: Bacteria; Bacillati; Actinomycetota; Actinomycetes; Micrococcales; Micrococcaceae.
AGUCGAACGAUGAUGCCCAGCUUGCUGGGCGGAUUAGUGGCGAACGGGUGAGUAAUACGUGAGUAACCUGCCCUUGACUCUGGGAUAAGCCUGGGAAACUGGGUCUAAUACUGGAUACUACCUCUUGCCGCAUGGUGGGUGGUGGAAAGGGUUUUACUGGUUUUGGAUGGGCUCACGGCCUAUCAGCUUGUUGGUGGGGUAAUGGCUCACCAAGGCGACGACGGGUAGCCGGCCUGAGAGGGUGACCGGCCACACUGGGACUGAGACACGGCCCAGACUCCUACGGGAGGCAGCAGUGGGGAAUAUUGCACAAUGGGCGGAAGCCUGAUGCAGCGACGCCGCGUGAGGGAUGACGGCCUUCGGGUUGUAAACCUCUUUCAGUAGGGAAGAAGCGAGAGUGACGGUACCUGCAGAAGAAGCGCCGGCUAACUACGUGCCAGCAGCCGCGGUAAUACGUAGGGCGCAAGCGUUGUCCGGAAUUAUUGGGCGUAAAGAGCUCGUAGGCGGUUUGUCGCGUCUGCUGUGAAAGCCCGGGGCUCAACCCCGGGUCUGCAGUGGGUACGGGCAGACUAGAGUGCAGUAGGGGAGACUGGAAUUCCUGGUGUAGCGGUGAAAUGCGCAGAUAUCAGGAGGAACACCGAUGGCGAAGGCAGGUCUCUGGGCUGUUACUGACGCUGAGGAGCGAAAGCAUGGGGAGCGAACAGGAUUAGAUACCCUGGUAGUCCAUGCCGUAAACGUUGGGCACUAGGUGUGGGGGACAUUCCACGUUUUCCGCGCCGUAGCUAACGCAUUAAGUGCCCCGCCUGGGGAGUACGGCCGCAAGGCUAAAACUCAAAGGAAUUGACGGGGGGCCCGCACAAGCGGCGGAGCAUGCGGAUUAAUUCGAUGCAACGCGAAGAACCUUACCAAGGCUUGACAUUCACCGGACCGCCCCAGAGAUGGGGUUUCCCUUCGGGGCUGGUGGACAGGUGGUGCAUGGUUGUCGUCAGCUCGUGUCGUGAGAUGUUGGGUUAAGUCCCGCAACGAGCGCAACCCUCGUUCUAUGUUGCCAGCACGUGAUGGUGGGGACUCAUAGGAGACUGCCGGGGUCAACUCGGAGGAAGGUGGGGAUGACGUCAAAUCAUCAUGCCCCUUAUGUCUUGGGCUUCACGCAUGCUACAAUGGCCGGUACAAAGGGUUGCGAUACUGUGAGGUGGAGCUAAUCCCAAAAAGCCGGUCUCAGUUCGGAUUGAGGUCUGCAACUCGACCUCAUGAAGUCGGAGUCGCUAGUAAUCGCAGAUCAGCAACGCUGCGGUGAAUACGUUCCCGGGCCUUGUACACACCGCCCGUCAAGUCACGAAAGUUGGUAACACCCGAAGCCGGUGGCCUAACCCCUUGUGGGAGGGAGCCGUCGAAGGUGGGACUGG